CAUAAAAAAUAAAUAAAACCAGUCUGGUUUUUGCAGAAAUUAACGUCAGUUUGUAAACUACAUAUUUAAAUUUUCCAUCAGACACCUAUAAAACCGAUAAUUCGAAGUCGCUAUAAACCCGCGGCCGAUGUUGCACAAGAAUCCACGCAGAAAUCGGCUAGCAGGUGGUGUUGCUCGUGCUUAAAGACCCAUCCGAGGCGGAGCCGACACGCAUUGCCAAUGACAGAUGUAAUCAUUUUUGGCAAUGCCAGCCGGCUGUUUAGCGGGCAUUUUGCGAAACCCCGGGCCCGAGCCCGAAUCCGAAUCCGAUGCAUAUGCAAAGCUAACAACAGGAAACCCAAGCCACCCGGUAACGAGCCGGUUGCGCAAGCGCACGGAGAACACACGGCCCGGCGACUGAUGUUGGAUGUCCGACUCCCAUGUCCGAGGCAUUUUUGGGAGCAGGCGUAUUAGUUACAUCCGCCCAAGGCACACCGCUCGGGAAUUAGUUGGGCUGCACUGGGAAAAAUAUAUGCUGGAGGAAGGCCCUAAAAACAUCUAUGGAUAUCUAGGGAUACCAUCAUUUAAGAAUACUUAUUUACAUUUUAUUCCCUUAUAAAAUUCCUACUUUUUUCAAUCCUCGAAA
Drosophila biarmipes is the source of this 625-nucleotide long non-coding RNA. RefSeq lists it as uncharacterized. The record is from RefSeq and is a predicted model, not a curated record. Lineage: Eukaryota; Metazoa; Arthropoda; Insecta; Diptera; Drosophilidae. The transcript has 2 exons.